RNAcentral lists this ribosomal RNA (784 nucleotides) under Bacillus sp. 5.5LF 18P. RNAcentral describes it as "bacterial SSU rRNA". It matches the Rfam family "Bacterial small subunit ribosomal RNA", at positions 18 to 781 of the family's 1533-position model. The record is from RNAcentral. Lineage: Bacteria; Bacillati; Bacillota; Bacilli; Caryophanales; Bacillaceae.
CCUGGCUCAGGACGAACGCUGGCGGCGUGCCUAAUACAUGCAAGUCGAGCGGACAGAAGGGAGCUUGCUCCCGGACGUUAGCGGCGGACGGGUGAGUAACACGUGGGCAACCUGCCCCUUAGACUGGGAUAACUCCGGGAAACCGGAGCUAAUACCGGAUAAUCCCUUUCUCCACCUGGAGAGAGGGUGAAAGAUGGCUUCGGCUAUCACUAAGGGAUGGGCCCGCGGCGCAUUAGCUAGUUGGUAAGGUAACGGCUUACCAAGGCAACGAUGCGUAGCCGACCUGAGAGGGUGAUCGGCCACACUGGGACUGAGACACGGCCCAGCCUCAUUCCUACGGAGGCAGCAGUAGGGAAUCUUCCGCAAUGGACGAAAGUCUGACGGAGCAACGCCGCGUGAGUGAGGAAGGCCUUCGGGUCGUAAAGCUCUGUUGUGAGGGAAGAAGCGGUACCGUUCGAAUAGGGCGGUACCUUGACGGUACCUCACCAGAAAGCCACGGCUAACUACGUGCCAGCAGCCGCGGUAAUACGUAGGUGGCAAGCGUUGUCCGGAAUUAUUGGGCGUAAAGCGCGCGCAGGCGGCUUCUUAAGUCUGAUGUGAAAUCUCGGGGCUCAACCCCGAGCGGCCAUUGGAAACUGGGGAGCUUGAGUGCAGAAGAGGAGAGUGGAAUUCCACGUGUAGCGGUGAAAUGCGUAGAGAUGUGGAGGAACACCAGUGGCGAAGGCGACUCUCUGGUCUGUAAAUGACGCUGAGGCGCGAAAGCUUGUGGAGCAGAGAGGAUAAG